This 107-nucleotide small RNA is filed under the name Marmota monax (woodchuck). The record is from RNAcentral. Lineage: Eukaryota; Metazoa; Chordata; Mammalia; Rodentia; Sciuridae.
GCUGGGUGUGGUGGCGCACGCCUGCAAUCCCAGCAGCCCUGGAGGGUGAGACAGGAGGAUUGCAAGUUCAAAGCCAGCCUCACCAACUUAGUGAGAUCCUAUCUCAA